This 414-nucleotide ribosomal RNA is filed under the name Salmonella enterica subsp. enterica serovar Heidelberg. Its description in RNAcentral is "partial 23S ribosomal RNA". It matches the Rfam family "Bacterial large subunit ribosomal RNA", at positions 105 to 559 of the family's 2925-position model. The record is from RNAcentral. Lineage: Bacteria; Pseudomonadati; Pseudomonadota; Gammaproteobacteria; Enterobacterales; Enterobacteriaceae. RNAcentral also lists the same sequence under 4 other names.
CGGCGAUACCCGAAUGGGGAAACCCAGUGUGACUCGUCACACUAUCAUUAACUGAAUCCAUAGGUUAAUGAGGCGAACCGGGGGAACUGAAACAUCUAAGUACCCCGAGGAAAAGAAAUCAACCGAGAUUCCCCCAGUAGCGGCGAGCGAACGGGGAGGAGCCCAGAGCCUGAAUCAGCAUGUGUGUUAGUGGAAGCGUCUGGAAAGGCGCGCGAUACAGGGUGACAGCCCCGUACACAAAAGCGCAUGUGCUGUGAGCUCGAUGAGUAGGGCGGGACACGUGGUAUCCUGUCUGAAUAUGGGGGGACCAUCCUCCAAGGCUAAAUACUCCUGACUGACCGAUAGUGAACCAGUACCGUGAGGGAAAGGCGAAAAGAACCCCGGCGAGGGGAGUGAAAAAGAACCUGAAACCGU